GGUCUCUUGGCGCAGUUGGUAGCGCGUUUCCUUGACAUGGAAGAGGUCACUGGUUCGAGCCCAGUAGAGACCACCA
RNAcentral lists this transfer RNA (76 nucleotides) under Pseudobdellovibrionaceae bacterium. RNAcentral describes it as "Bdellovibrionaceae bacterium (activated sludge metagenome) tRNA-Val". It matches the Rfam family "tRNA". From Rfam's summary of the family: Transfer RNA (tRNA) molecules are approximately 80 nucleotides in length. Their secondary structure includes four short double-helical elements and three loops (D, anti-codon, and T loops). Lineage: Bacteria; Pseudomonadati; Bdellovibrionota; Bdellovibrionia; Bdellovibrionales; Pseudobdellovibrionaceae. The record is from RNAcentral.